RNAcentral lists this ribosomal RNA (469 nucleotides) under uncultured bacterium. RNAcentral describes it as "partial 16S ribosomal RNA". It matches the Rfam family "Bacterial small subunit ribosomal RNA", at positions 28 to 507 of the family's 1533-position model. The record is from RNAcentral.
GACGAACGCUGGCGGCGUGCUUAACACAUGCAAGUCGAACGGAAAGUCCCUGCUUUUGCUUGGUACUCGAUUGGCGAACGGGUGAGUAACACGUGAGUAACCGUCCCUUAACUUUGGGAUAACUUGAGGAAACUGGUGCUAAUACCGGAUAGUAGCUCCUGCUGCUUGGUGGUGGUUGGAAAUUUUCGGAGGUUGGGGAUGGAAUCGCGGCUUAUCAGCUUGUUGUUGGGGUAGUUGCUUACCAAGGCUUUGACGGGUAGCCGGCCUGAUAGAGUGACCGGCGACCAUGGGACUGCGAUACGGAACAGACGCGAACGGGCGGCAGUAGAGGGGAAUAUUGCAGAACAAGGGCACGUGUGAUGAAGAAGCGUCGCGUGCGGAAAGACCGGUUUCGAGUUGAAAACCGCUUUGGGAUGUGAAGAUGCAUGAGUGAAGGUAAUCUGAAAAGAAGCACAGGGCUAACAAGGUC